ACGGCUCAGUAACACGUGGAUAACCUGCCCUUGGGUCCGGCAUAACCCCGGGAAACUGGGGAUAAUUCCGGAUAACGCACAUAUGCUGGAAUGCUUUAUGCGUAAAAUGGAUUCGUCUGCCCAAGGAUGGGUCUGCGGCCUAUCAGGUAGUAGUGGGUUAAUGUACCUACUAGCCAACAACGGGUACGGGUUGUGAGAGCAAGAGCCCGGAGAUGGAUUCUGAGACAUGAAUCCAGGCCCUACGGGGCGCAGCAGGCGCGAAAACUUUACAAUGCGGGAAGCCGUGAUAAGGGGACACCGAGUGCCAGCAUCAUAUGCUGGCUGUCCAGGUGUAUAAAAUACACCUGUCAGCAAGGGCCGGGCAAGACCGGUGCCAGCCGCCGCGGUAACACCGGCGGCCCGAGUGGUGAUCGUGAUUAUUGGGUCUAAAGGGUCCGUAGCCGGUUUGGUCAGUCCUCCGGGAAAUCUGACAGCUUAACUGUUAGGCUUUCGGAGGAUACUGCCAGACUUGGAACCGGGAGAGGUAAGAGGUACUACAGGGGUAGGAGUGAAAUCUUGUAAUCCCUGUGAGACCACCUGUGGCGAAGGCGUCUUACCAGAACGGGUUCGACGGUGAGGGACGAAAGCUGGGGGCACGAACCGGAUUAGAUACCCGGGUAGUCCCAGCCGUAAACGAUGCUCGCUAGGUGUCAGGCAUGGCGCGACCGUGUCUGGUGCCGCAGGGAAGCCGUGAAGCGAGCCACCUGGGAAGUACGGCCGCAAGGCUGAAACUUAAAGGAAUUGGCGGGGGAGCAC
This 795-nucleotide ribosomal RNA is filed under the name uncultured Methanosarcina sp. RNAcentral's name for it is "bacterial SSU rRNA". It matches the Rfam family "Archaeal small subunit ribosomal RNA", at positions 85 to 879 of the family's 1478-position model. The record is from RNAcentral. Lineage: Archaea; Methanobacteriati; Methanobacteriota; Methanomicrobia; Methanosarcinales; Methanosarcinaceae.